Molecule: long non-coding RNA, 543 nt
Filed under: Nicotiana benthamiana
Lineage: Eukaryota; Viridiplantae; Streptophyta; Magnoliopsida; Solanales; Solanaceae
Description: long non-coding RNA (NBEN_LNC038414)
Source: RNAcentral
UCCAUAUAUCUAACAUCCUUUGCUAGGUUUACCUAAAGGAGUGCCAUGUCGAAUUUCGAUUGGUGGAUUUCUGUUGUUCAGUAACGGUAAUUUCGUCUGAACAGUAGCAACAAAUGAUGGUUUUGACACACUCUGUUCACCUCUUUUAUUACCCGCAGAGUCUUGUGCUUUGUUGCCCACAGGUGGGCCUCUCCCAAGCUGCAUGUUGCUCUGUGAAGAAUUUUGGACUGGUGGGUUCUCAUUCAUUUGUGUAUUGGUAGUUUGAGGGGCUACCUGGUGCUGAUCAAUAUUGUUCUCCAAGGUUUUGUCAGUCCAUGGAGGAGGUCGAUCAAAGUUUGAAGAAAUCUUUGGUUGGGAUGGUAAGUUGUUUAAGGUGGAAGAUGUGGGGUUAUUUUUGGUCUUACUGGUUGUAUUGGUCCUGUUUCUUUUGUUGAGAUGGUGGUUGUAGGAUUGAGUUGUCGAAAUAUUAUGGAUUGGGUCAGGUGGGUGGGGUAGGUCAGUAGAUUGCAGUGUAGCUCAGAGAGAGAUUAUAGAGAAAAAGUU